Molecule: ribosomal RNA, 397 nt
Filed under: uncultured bacterium
Lineage: Bacteria
Description: partial 16S ribosomal RNA
Rfam family: Bacterial small subunit ribosomal RNA
Source: RNAcentral
AUACGUAGGGGGCGAGCGUUGUCCGGAAUGAUUGGGCGUAAAGGGCGCGUAGGCGGCCCGGUAAGUCUGGAGUGAAAGUCCUGUUUUUAAGAUGGGAAUUGCUUUGGAUACUGUCGGGCUUGAGUGCAGGAGAGGUAAGUGGAAUUCCCAGUGUAGCGGUGAAAUGCGUAGAGAUUGGGAGGAACACCAGUGGCGAAGGCGACUUACUGGACUGUAACUGACGCUGAGGCGCGAAAGUGUGGGGAGCAGACAGGAUUAGAUACCCUGGGAGUCCACACUGUAAACGAUGAAUGCUAGGUGUAGUGGGUAUCGACCCCUUCUGUGCCGCAGUCACCACAAUAAGCAUUCCGCCUGGGGAGUACGGCCGCAAGGUUGAAACUCAAAUGAAUUGACGGGG